This 2968-nucleotide ribosomal RNA is filed under the name Deltaproteobacteria bacterium. RNAcentral describes it as "23S ribosomal RNA". It matches the Rfam family "Bacterial large subunit ribosomal RNA". Lineage: Bacteria; Pseudomonadati; Myxococcota; Myxococcia. The record is from RNAcentral.
AGCCAAGCUACUAAGGGCACACGAUGGAUGCCUUGGCGCUAGAAAGCGAAGAAGGACGUGGCUUGUCUGCGAUAAGCCUCGGGGAGCCGACAAGUGGGCUUUGAUCCGGGGAUGUCCGAAUCGGGAAACCGGGCAGAAGAUAUUCUGUCAUCCUCCACUGAAUUCAUAGGUGGAGAGAAGCAAACCUGGGGAAGUGAAACAUCUUAGUACCCAGAGGAAGAGAAAUCAAACGAGAUUCCCCUAGUAGUGGCGAGCGAACGGGGAACAGGCCAAACCAAGCGACUUCGGUCGCUUGGGGUUGUAGGGCUGGCAUUUAGGAUCCGUGAUUAGAUAGUUGAACCGGCGUGGAAUAGCCGACCAAAGAGGGUGAAAGUCCCGUAAGCGAAAUCGACAAGCGGCUGAGCCAGUUCCUGAGUACCACAGGGCACGAGCAACCCGGUGGGAACCUGGGUCGACCAUGAUCCAAGCCUAAAUAUUCUCUAGCGACCGAUAGCGAACAAGUACCGCGAGGGAAAGGUGAAAAGCACCCCGGUUAGGGGAGUGAAAGAGACCUGAAAUCGUGUGCCUACAAGCAGUUAGAGGCCUAUGGUUCGUCCAGGCUGAUAGCGUGCCUUUUGCAUAAUGAUGUGGCGAGUUAUCCUAUGCAGCGAGGUUAAGUCGAUUAGACGAAGCCGAAGGGAAACCAAGUCUUAAAAGGGCGUUGAGUUGCAUGGGGUAGACCCGAAGCGCGGCGAGCUAGACAUGGGCAGGUUGAAGCGAGGGUAAAACCUCGUGGAGGACCGAACCGGUGGAAGUAGAAAAUUUCUCGGAUGACCUGUGUAUAGGGGUGAAAGGCCAAUCAAGCCGCGGGAUAGCUGGUUCUCCCCGAAAGAUAUUUAGGUAUCGUCUCGGGUAAUUCAGUUCUGGGGGUAGAGCACUAACAGGGCUAGGGGUCUUACCAGAUUACCAAACCCUAUUAAACUCCGAAUACCAGAAACUGUUACCCCGGGAAGCAGUCAUACCGUGCUAAGGCGGCGUGACAAGAGGAUAAGAGUCCAGACCGACAGCUAAGGUCCCAAAGUUCCGGCUAAGUGGUAAAGGAUGUGGAAACGCUGUGACAACCAGGAGGUUGGCUUAGAAGCAGCCACCCUCUAAAGAAAGCGUAAUAGCUCACUGGUCAAGUGGGUCCGCGCCGAAAAUUUAACGGGGCUCAAGCCGGGCACCGAAGCUUCGGAUGUGCAUUGGAUACGUUCUGAUGCACGUGGUAGGGGAGCAUCGUCAGGGCUGUGAAGAUGAACCGAAAGGAUGCAUUGGAGCGCUGACGAGAGAUUAUGCCACAAUGAGUAGCGAUAAACAAAGUGAGAAACUUUGUCGCCGAAAACCCAAGGUUUCCCGGGCCAGGUUAAUCCGCCCGGGGUUAGUCGGGAUCUAAGCCGAGGCCGCAAGGCGUAGUGCGAUGACGAGCAGGUUAAUAUUCCUGCACCUGUAUGAGCGUUGAAGCAAGCGGGGACGAAGAAGGUUACCUGGGCCACCGAACGGAAAUGGUGGUCGGUCUUUAUAGCUGGGAGCAUACGAAACCAAAGGUGCUCCCGUUAAGGCAAAGGAAGAUCGCAAUGUCUAGUCUUCGGACCAGAUAAAGUCAGUCAUACCAUGCUUUCAAGAAAAGCCGCGUGUGGAGCAAAAUACAGCCCGUACCGUAAACCGACACAGGUGGGUGGGAAGAGAAUUCCAAGGCGCUUGAGAGAACCAAACCUAAGGAACUCUGCAAAUUGACGCCGUAACUUCGGGAGAAGGCGUGCCCUCAGUAGGUCUAAAUCUUUACGAGUAAAGCCGAAGAGGGUUGCAAAUACCAGGCGGUGGCGACUGUUUACCAAAAACACAGCACUCUGCAAACCCGCAAGGGGACGUAUAGGGUGUGACGCGUGCCCAAUGCUGGAAGGUUAACAGAAUCCGUUAGAGCAAUCGAAGCGGUGAAUCGAAGCCCCAGUGAAUGGCGGCCGUAACUAUAACGGUCCUAAGGUAGCGAAAUUCCUUGUCGGGUAAGUUCCGACCUGCACGAAUCGCGUAACGAUCUCCGCACUGUCUCGGGUUUGGACUCAGCGAAAUUGAGAGCGCUGUGAAAACGCAGUGUACGUACGGCAAGACGGAAAGACCCCGUGAACCUUUACUGCAACUUGACAGUGAUAUUCGAACCAGCUUGCGUAGGAUAGGUGGGAGGCUUUGAAGCGGUGAUUCUGGUCAUCGUGGAGCCGCCGUUGAAAUACCACCCUGGUUCGUUUGGGUAUCUAACCUAGGCCUCUCAGCGAGGUCAGGGACACUGUCUGGUGGGCAGUUUGACUGGGGCGGUCGCCUCCCAAAGAGUAACGGAGGCGCGCGAAGGUUCCCUCAGCCUGAUUGGAAACCAGGCGUCGAGUGUAAUGGCACAAGGGAGCUUGACUGCAAGACAGACAUGUCGAGCAGGUGCGAAAGCAGGUCAUAGUGAUCCGGUGGUUCUGCAUGGAAGGGCCAUCGCUCAACGGAUAAAAGGUACUCCGGGGAUAACAGGCUUAUCACGCCCAAGAGUUCACAUCGACGGCGUGGUUUGGCACCUCGAUGUCGGCUCAUCGCAUCCUGGGGCUGAAGUCGGUCCCAAGGGUUAGGCUGUUCGCCUAUUAAAGCGGUACGCGAGCUGGGUUCAAAACGUCGUGAGACAGUUUGGUCCCUAUCUGCCGUAUGCGGAGGAAAUUUGAGGGAAGCUGACUUUAGUACGAGAGGACCGAGUUGGACGAACCUCUGGUGUACCAGUUGUCACGCCAGUGGCACAGCUGGGUAGCCAUGUUCGGACGGGAUAACCGCUGAAAGCAUCUAAGCGGGAAGCCCCUCCCAAGAUUAGAUUUCCCAGUCGUAAGACGCUGAAGGCCCCUCGAAGACUACGAGGUAAUAGGUUGGGUGUGGAAGCCUCGCAAGAGGUGGAGCUUACCAAUACUAAUCGGCCGGCCGGCUUGGCAUU